GUAGGUGGCAAGCGUUGUCCGGAAUUAUUGGGCGUAAAGCGCGCGCAGGCGGUUCUUUAAGUCUGAUGUGAAAGCCCACGGCUCAACCGUGGAGGGUCAUUGGAAACUGGAGAACUUGAGUACAGAAGAGGAAAGCGGAAUUCCACGUGUAGCGGUGAAAUGCGUAGAGAUGUGGAGGAACACCAGUGGCGAAGGCGGCUUUCUGGUCUGUAACUGACGCUGAGGCGCGAAAGCGUGGGGGAGCAAACAGGAUUGGAUACCCUGGUAGUCCACGCCGUAAACGAUGAGUGCUAAGUGUUAGGGGGUUUCCGCCCUUAGUGCUGCAGCUAACGCAUUAAGCACUCCGCCUGGGAGUACGGCCGCAAGGCUG
Molecule: ribosomal RNA, 370 nt
Filed under: uncultured organism
Description: partial 16S ribosomal RNA
Rfam family: Bacterial small subunit ribosomal RNA
Source: RNAcentral